UUCAGGUUGUCGAAUAAAUAUCGUAAUCCAUUUCCAUUAAGUGAAAACAAAGCUUUGAAAUGUGGGUAAAAAUGUAAAGAAGCUAUUCCUAAUUCAACACAUCAAGAUAAGCAGACAAGCAGUACAGUCCGAUUUGAAUUUUUAACAAGAACAAUGUUUGAACCCAACUUGAUAUUAUCCCCAAAAGAGCCACAAACCAACCAUUCAUCUGUGUAGUCCACAUCCAACGUUAUCAGCAAUGAACAGAGACUACUUUGUUAUUUU
Molecule: long non-coding RNA, 264 nt
Filed under: Medicago truncatula (barrel medic)
Lineage: Eukaryota; Viridiplantae; Streptophyta; Magnoliopsida; Fabales; Fabaceae
Description: lncRNA gene26284
Source: RNAcentral